This 484-nucleotide ribosomal RNA is filed under the name uncultured bacterium. RNAcentral describes it as "partial 16S ribosomal RNA". It matches the Rfam family "Bacterial small subunit ribosomal RNA", at positions 30 to 507 of the family's 1533-position model. The record is from RNAcentral.
AUUGAACGCUGGCGGCAGGCCUAACACAUGCAAGUCGAGCGGAUGAAGGGAGCUUGCUCCUGGAUUCAGCGGCGGACGGGUGAGUAAUGCCUAGGAAUCUGCCUGGUAGUGGGGGAUAACGUCCGGAAACGGGCGCUAAUACCGCAUACGUCCUGAGGGAGAAAGUGGGGGAUCUUCGGACCUCACGCUAUCAGAUGAGCCUAGGUCGGAUUAGCUAGUUGGUGGGGUAAAGGCCUACCAAGGCGACGAUCCGUAACUGGUCUGGGAGGAUGAUCAGUCACACUGGAACUGAGACACGGUACAGACUCCUACGGGAGGCAGCAGUGGGGAAUAUUGGACAAUGGGCGAAAGCCUGAUCCAGCCAUGCCGCGUGUGUGAAGAAGGUCUUCGGAUUGUAAAGCACUUUAAGUUGGGAGGAAGGGCAGUAAGUUAAUACCUUGCUGUUUUGACGUUACCAACAGAAUAAGCACCGGCUAACUUCGUG